GCAGGGCACGUCCAAAGGAGAAAGAAAGAGACCAUGGCUUCUUCCCCUUGAGCUUGUUCAUGGCAUUAAGGUUGAUGGUGGCCUCCUCUUCGCUCUGUCCGCCAGACAAGAACACAAUAGCUGGAACUGCAGCAGGAACGGUUCGUUGUAGGGCAAGGACGGUGUGCUCCGCAAUCACUUCUGGUGCAACCUUUGCAGAUUGAGAUCCAGGGGUAACCAUGUUGGGCUUCAACAAGGUUCCUUCAAGGAGAACGUGGUGGUCAUUUAGAGCCUUGUAGCAUGCAGCAAGAA
This 291-nucleotide unclassified non-coding RNA is filed under the name Hevea brasiliensis (rubber tree). Lineage: Eukaryota; Viridiplantae; Streptophyta; Magnoliopsida; Malpighiales; Euphorbiaceae. The record is from RNAcentral.